RNAcentral lists this ribosomal RNA (857 nucleotides) under Colletotrichum gigasporum. Its description in RNAcentral is "LSU rRNA". It matches the Rfam family "Eukaryotic large subunit ribosomal RNA", at positions 71 to 957 of the family's 3401-position model. Lineage: Eukaryota; Fungi; Ascomycota; Sordariomycetes; Glomerellales; Glomerellaceae. The record is from RNAcentral.
GGGAUUGCCUCAGUAACGGCGAGUGAAGCGGCAACAGCUCAAAUUUGAAAUCUGGUCCUUGCGGCCCGAGUUGUAAUUUGCAGAGGAUGCUUUUGGCGCGGUGCCUUCCAAGUUCCCUGGAACGGGACGCCUUAGAGGGUGAGAGCCCCGUACGGUUGGACACCAAGCCUUUGUAAAGCUCCUUCGACGAGUCGAGUAGUUUGGGAAUGCUGCUCUAAAUGGGAGGUAUAUUUCUUCUAAAGCUAAAUACCGGCCAGAGACCGAUAGCGCACAAGUAGAGUGAUCGAAAGAUGAAAAGCACUUUGAAAAGAGGGUUAAACAGCACGUGAAAUUGUUAAAAGGGAAGCGCUUGUGACCAGACUUGCGCCCGGUGAAUCACCCAGCUCUCGCGGCUGGGGCACUUUGCCGGCUCAGGCCAGCAUCAGCUUGCCGUCGGGGACAAAAGCUUCGGGAACGUAGCUCUCUUCGGGGAGUGUUAUAGCCCGUUGCACAAUACCCUUCGGCGGGCUGAGGUACGCGCUCCGCAAGGAUGCUGGCAUAAUGGUCAUCAGCGACCCGUCUUGAAACACGGACCAAGGAGUCAACCUUAUGUGCGAGUGUUCGGGUGUCAAACCCCUACGCGUAAUGAAAGUGAACGCAGGUGAGAGCUUCGGCGCAUCAUCGACCGAUCCUGAUGUUCUCGGAUGGAUUUGAGUAAGAGCAUAUAGGGUUGGACCCGAAAGAAGGUGAACUAUGCGUGUAUAGGGUGAAGCCAGAGGAAACUCUGGUGGAGGCUCGCAGCGGUUCUGACGUGCAAAUCGAUCGUCAAAUAUGCGCAUGGGGGCGAAAGACUAAUCGAACCUUCUAGUAGCUGGUUU